GAUGAACGCUGGCGGCGUGCCUAAUACAUGCAAGUCGAGCGAACAGACGAGGAUCUUGCUCCUCUGACGUUAUCGGCGGACGGGUGAGUAACACGUGGAUAACCUACCUAUAAGACUGGGAUAACUUCGGGAAACCGGAGCUAAUACCGGAUAAUAUAUUGAACCGCAUGGUUCAAUAGUGAAAUACGGUUUUGCUGUCACUUAUAGAUGGAUCCGCGCCGCAUUAGCUAGUUGGUAAGGUAACGGCUUACCAAGGCAACGAUGCGUAGCCGACCUGAGAGGAUGAUCGGCCACUCUGGAGCGAGGACACGCACCAAAAUCGUAAGGGAGGCAGGAGUAGGGAACCUACCGCAGGGAGCGAAAGCGUGACGGAGCAACGCCGCGAGAGUGAUGCAGGGCUUCGCAGCGUGAAACAAUAUUAUUAGAGAAGAACAAAUGUGUAAGUAACGAUGCACGUAUGAACGGUACCGAAUAAGAAAGCCACGGUUAACUACGU
Molecule: ribosomal RNA, 496 nt
Filed under: uncultured bacterium
Lineage: Bacteria
Description: partial 16S ribosomal RNA
Rfam family: Bacterial small subunit ribosomal RNA
Source: RNAcentral